Long non-coding RNA from Microtus oregoni (creeping vole), 496 nucleotides. RefSeq lists it as uncharacterized. Lineage: Eukaryota; Metazoa; Chordata; Mammalia; Rodentia; Cricetidae. The transcript is spliced from 3 exons. The record is from RefSeq and is a predicted model, not a curated record.
AGCCAGACAGUUAGCUGUGCUGUGAGGGGUUAGAAUAUUGCUCCCUUAGAAGCUAGGAGCUAGGUUACCGGGUCUGCAGACCAUUACGAGGACAAAGUGGGGAAACUGCCUCCCGGGACCAGCGCUGCCAAGUUCUCCUGGGUGUCCCGGCGUCCGCACUCUCCCGUGACCUCAGCGUCCCGAGAGCAGUGUUUCGCUCUGGCCUGCAAGGUGCCGUUCAGUCUUGAGCCAACCUCUAAAAUCGUGUCGCCCUCAGCGGAGAGCCUGGCGCCCGCCGCACACAGACAGGGCCUCAUAUUCUAGCCCUAGCUGGCCUGAAUUCACUGAGUAGAUGAGGCUGGCUUUGAACUCACAGAUCCACAUGCCUCUGUCAUUUGAUUGCUGGAAGGUAGGGAGAAAAACAACAAAAGAGACCAAACCAAACCAAAAUAAACAAGUUCUCACAAUGGACACAACCCUGUACAUUUGGAUAAAGCUGAUGCUACGGGAUGCAAUG